UGCAACGAUGAAGAACGCAGCGAAAUGCGAUACCUAGUGUGAAUUGCAGAAUUCCGCGAAUCAUCGAGUUUUUGAACGCAAGUUGCGCCCGAGGCUCGUACCGAGGGCAUGUCUGUUUGAGCGUCCA
RNAcentral lists this ribosomal RNA (127 nucleotides) under Frullania rostrata. RNAcentral describes it as "partial 5.8S ribosomal RNA". It matches the Rfam family "5.8S ribosomal RNA", at positions 29 to 154 of the family's 154-position model. From Rfam's summary of the family: 5.8S ribosomal RNA (5.8S rRNA) is a component of the large subunit of the eukaryotic ribosome. It is transcribed by RNA polymerase I as part of the 45S precursor that also contains 18S and 28S rRNA. Lineage: Eukaryota; Viridiplantae; Streptophyta; Jungermanniopsida; Porellales; Frullaniaceae. The record is from RNAcentral.